GUUAGCAUGGCGCAGGCGGUAGCGCUGUUGGUGGUCAACCAGACGGUCUCAGGUUCGAACCCGCCUGGUGUCA
Caenorhabditis brenneri is the source of this 73-nucleotide non-coding RNA. NCBI's taxonomy places the organism in Eukaryota, Metazoa, Nematoda, Chromadorea, Rhabditida, Rhabditidae. The record is from the annotation of a GenBank genome assembly.